AAUGUUUCUGAGUACAGGCAGUGCUCUAGCGAUGUCUUACAACAGCAAAUAAUGUUCUAAAGUUGUGCCGGGGAGGUUUAGACUGGAUGUUGGGAAGAAUUUGGAUAUCAGAUAUUAAGAAGAGUGUCUUCAUGCAGCAAUCAAGCAUUGGAAUGGCUGCCCAGGGACCAAGGAGCGAAACCUGGGAUUUACACUAGCAACUGUUUUAAGAAAUAUGUUCCUGGCCCUGAGCAUCAUCUCAAAGGAAGAGAGCGAGCUCAUCUCUGUGACCCAUCCACCUUGAAGGACUAAUAGAGAUGUAGGGCACCAAGGCAUGGUGAGGUUAAACACAACCAUCGUU
Molecule: long non-coding RNA, 340 nt
Filed under: Anas platyrhynchos platyrhynchos (common mallard)
Lineage: Eukaryota; Metazoa; Chordata; Aves; Anseriformes; Anatidae
Description: lncRNA (ENSAPLG00000019640.1)
Source: RNAcentral